AACCUCCUUCGGGAGGGGAUUAGUGGCGAACGGGUGAGUAACACGUGGGCAAUCUGCCCUUCACUCUGGGACAAGCCCUGGAAACGGGGUCUAAUACCGGAUAACACUGCGGAUCGCAUGGUCUGCGGUUAAAAGCUCCGGCGGUGAAGGAUGAGCCCGCGGCCUAUCAGCUAGUUGGUGGGGUAAUGGCCUACCAAGGCGACGACGGGUAGCCGGCCUGAGAGGGCGACCGGCCACACUGGGACUGAGACACGGCCCAGACUCCUACGGGAGGCAGCAGUGGGGAAUAUUGCACAAUGGGCGAAAGCCUGAUGCAGCGACGCCGCGUGAGGGAUGACGGCCUUCGGGUUGUAAACCUCUUUCAGCAGGGAAGAAGCGAAAGUGACGGUACCUGCAGAAGAAGCGCCGGCUAACUACGUGCCAGCAGCCGCGGUAAUACGUAGGGCGCAAGCGUUGUCCGGAAUUAUUGGGCGUAAAGAGCUCGUAGGCGGCUUGUCACGUCGGAUGUGAAAGCCCGGGGCUUAACCCCGGGUCUGCAUUCGAUACGGGCAGGCUAGAGUGUGGUAGGGGAGAUCGGAAUUCCUGGUGUAGCG
Molecule: ribosomal RNA, 593 nt
Filed under: bacterium
Lineage: Bacteria
Description: bacterial SSU rRNA
Rfam family: Bacterial small subunit ribosomal RNA
Source: RNAcentral